Sciurus carolinensis (gray squirrel) is the source of this 479-nucleotide long non-coding RNA. RefSeq lists it as uncharacterized. The transcript is spliced from 3 exons. The record is from RefSeq and is a predicted model, not a curated record. NCBI's taxonomy places the organism in Eukaryota, Metazoa, Chordata, Mammalia, Rodentia, Sciuridae.
GCCUGGAGGCGCGGACCAGGGCAGCAGCCCUCCUGAACGCCUCCCUCAGGAGGACCCUCCCUGGGGCCUGGAGGGGAAGAGGUUGGCUGAGACACGUGGGCAUCGUGGGAGACCUGAUAUGACUCAUGUGGCUUCUGACACAAUAAAUCCUCAACUGCAAAGCAAGAUGGGGUAAGGCCUCUGGAAGGCUCUGGAAUGCUUCUGGAGUUCCCCUCACCUGCGAUGUCACAGAGUUCCGCAUCUGAGGCGUUGGCCAAGGCCUCCUCCAGCUCUGGCUCCAGCGUCACGCUUUCCAGCACAGGGUCCACUGGCUUCUGCUUGGGGACCCAGAUCUUUCCUGUAAACACACAGGGUGGCUGUUAAGAUUUUACUUCAAUCAACCCUGAUCACUGGGCUAUUGAGGAAGCACAGCGUGGAGAUGAGGGGCUGGUGCAAUCGUCCCCGCUGAGAGACCAUGGUGAUCUGAACCAGAAGCACGG